GGGUGCAAUCAUACUAGCACUAAUGCAGUGGAUCCCAUCAGAACUCCGAAGUUAAGCGUGCUUCGGCGAGAGUAGUAUUAGGAUGUGGACCUCCUGGGAAGUCCUCGUGUUGCACUCC
This 118-nucleotide ribosomal RNA is filed under the name Nelumbo nucifera (sacred lotus). The record is from RNAcentral. Lineage: Eukaryota; Viridiplantae; Streptophyta; Magnoliopsida; Proteales; Nelumbonaceae.